CAUAAUCGGCUCGUUCUGACCUUUGGGAAGGGUUACAGGAGUAUCUGCGCUGGCGGUGCUUGGAAUGCGUCAAAACUUUCCAAAACAUUAGGAAAGGGAUGUGAGCCCGUCAUCCUCGUAUGGCUUGCUGAUGAACGCUGACGUUUAAUAAGAGAAUAAUGCAAAAGCAAGUAAUCAAUGUGGCCUCAAGCGGUGACAAACUGGACACAUCGGCAGGGCUUCCUGUGGUAUAAAACAAGACCUUAAAAUGCUGAGUCAGCAUCUUUGUAAAAACAUUUGCUGAUGCUUCAUAAACGAUUUACUGAAAGUAAAUGUUGUAAUAUACUUUUUUACUCGUCUCAUAAUAGUCUAUCGAAUUUUACUUAAUUAAAGUUUUUUACUACUUUAAUUACUUUAAUACUACUUUAAUACUACUUUAAUUAGAGUUUUUUUGAAUUUGCAAAUUUUUUGACUUUGAAAACUAUUGAUGACAUUAUCGUGAAUAAAACGUAAAUUUCUGCUUA
This is a long non-coding RNA of Xenia sp. Carnegie-2017, 503 nucleotides long. RefSeq lists it as uncharacterized. Lineage: Eukaryota; Metazoa; Cnidaria; Anthozoa; Malacalcyonacea; Xeniidae. The transcript is spliced from 3 exons. The record is from RefSeq and is a predicted model, not a curated record.